Molecule: ribosomal RNA, 253 nt
Filed under: uncultured bacterium
Lineage: Bacteria
Description: partial 16S ribosomal RNA
Rfam family: Bacterial small subunit ribosomal RNA
Source: RNAcentral
UACAGAGGUCUCAAGCGUUGUUCGGAUUCAUUGGGCGUAAAGGGUGUGUAGGUGGCGCUGUAAGUCGGGUGUGAAAUUUCGGAGCUUAACUCCGAAACUGCAUUCGAUACUGCGGUGCUUGAGGACUGGAGAGGAGACUGGAAUUUACGGUGUAGCAGUGAAAUGCGUAGAGAUCGUAAGGAAGACCAGUGGCGAAGGCGGGUCUCUGGACAGUUCCUGACACUGAGGCACGAAGGCCAGGGGAGCAAACGGG